RNAcentral lists this long non-coding RNA (1448 nucleotides) under Numida meleagris (helmeted guineafowl). RNAcentral's name for it is "lncRNA (ENSNMEG00000001543.1)". Lineage: Eukaryota; Metazoa; Chordata; Aves; Galliformes; Numididae. The record is from RNAcentral.
CCUGACCCACACCUGUGCCCCAUGUCCCCCUGACCCACACCUGUGUCCCCAUGGCCCUGUGACCCACACCUGGUGUCCCCCUGUCCCCAUGUCCCUAUGACCCACACCUGGUGUCCCCAUGUCCCACACCCGUGGCCCCAUGUCCCCAUGUCCCUAUGACCCACACCUCUGUCCCCAUGUCCUCAUGACCCACACCUGUGUCUCCACAUCUCUGUGACCCACACCUGUGGCCCCAUGUUGCUCUGACCCACAUGUGUGUCCCCAUGUCCCCGUGACCCACACCUGGUGUCCCCAUGGCCCCAUGACCCACUGACCCACACCUGCAUCCCCAUGUCCCCAUGUCCCCCUGACCCACACUUGGUGUCCCCAAGUCCCCCUGACCCACACCUGUGUCCCCAUGUCCCCAUGUCCCCAAUCCAACGUCCCCAUGUCCCCAAGACCCAAACCCAAUGUCCCCAUGUCCCCAACCCAACAUCCCCAUGACACAAACCCAACAUCCUCAUGUCCCCAUGUCUCCAACCCAACGUCCCCACGUCCCAAACCCAACAUCCCCCUAUUCUAAACCCAACAUCCCCAUAACGCAAUGUCCCCAUGUCCCCAACCCAACGUCCCCAUGUCCCCAAUCCAACGUCCCCAUGUCCCCAAGACCCAAACCCAACGUUCCCCUAUUCUAAACCCAACGUCCCCAUAACACAAUGACCCCAUGUCCCCAACCCAACGUCCCCAUGUCCCCAUGUCCCCAUGUCUCCAUGUCCCCAACCCAACGUCCCCAUGUCCCCAUGACCCCAACCCAACAUCCCCAUGUCCCCAACCCAACGUCCCCAUGUCCCCAUGUCCCCAACCCAAUGUCCCCAUGUCCCAAACCCAACGUCCCCAUGUCCCCAUGUCCCCAACCCAACGUCCCCAGAACGCAACGUCCCCAUGACCCCAACCCAACGUCCCCAUGUCCCAAACCCAACAUCCCCAUAACGCAACAUCCCCAUGUCCCCAACCCAACGUCCCCAUGUCCCAAACCCAACAUCCCCAUAACGCAACGUCCCCAUGUCCCAAAUCCAACGUCCCCACGUCCCAAACCCAACGUCCCCAUGUCCCCAUGUCCCAAACCCAACGUCCUCAUGUCCCCAUGUCCCAAACCCAACGUCCCCAUGUCCCCAACCCAACGUCCCCAGAACGCAACGUCUCCAUGACCCAAACCCAACGUCCCCAGAACGCAACGUCCCCAUGUCCCCAACCCAACGUCCCCAUGUCCCCAUGUCCCCAACCCAACGUCCCCAUGUCCCCAUGACCCAAACCCAACAUCCCCAUGUCCCCAUGUCCCAAACCCAACGUCCCCAUGACCCCAACCCAACGUCCCCAUGUCCCCAUGUCCCAAACCCAACGUCCCCACGUCCCAAACCCAAUGUCCCCACGUCCCAAACCCAACGUCCCCAUGUCCCCAACCCAACGUC